GGACCUGACUGCUAUCGGAUUGAUACUAAGCCAUGCGAGUCAUUGUAGCAAUACAAGGCAUACGGCUCAGUAACGCGUAGUCAACCUAACCUAUGGACGGGAAUAACCUCGGGAAACUGAGAAUAAUGCCCGAUAGAACAUUAUGCCUGGAAUGGUUUAUGUUCCAAAUGAUUUAUCGCCGUAGGAUGGGACUGCGGCCUAUCAGUUUGUUGGUGAGGUAAUGGCCCACCAAGACUAUUACAGGUACGGGCUCUGAGAGGAGUAGCCCGGAGAUGGGUACUGAGACACGGACCCAGGCCCUAUGGGGCGCAGCAGACGAGAAAACUUUGCGAAUGUGCGAAAGCACGACGAAGGUUAAUCCGAGUGGUUUCUGCUAAAGAAACCUUUUGUCAGUCCUAGAAACACUGAUGAAUAAGGGGUGGGCGAAGUUCUGGUGU
This 437-nucleotide ribosomal RNA is filed under the name uncultured archaeon. Its description in RNAcentral is "bacterial SSU rRNA". It matches the Rfam family "Archaeal small subunit ribosomal RNA", at positions 19 to 458 of the family's 1478-position model. The record is from RNAcentral.